AUCUAGCUGACGAGUCCCAAAUAGGACGAAACGCGCGUCCUGAAU
Non-coding RNA from Schistosoma mansoni, 45 nucleotides. The record is from Rfam. Lineage: Eukaryota; Metazoa; Platyhelminthes; Trematoda; Strigeidida; Schistosomatidae.